This 87-nucleotide transfer RNA is filed under the name Bacillota bacterium. RNAcentral's name for it is "tRNA-Leu". It matches the Rfam family "tRNA". Rfam says of the family: Transfer RNA (tRNA) molecules are approximately 80 nucleotides in length. Their secondary structure includes four short double-helical elements and three loops (D, anti-codon, and T loops). RNAcentral also lists the same sequence under 2 other names. Lineage: Bacteria; Bacillati; Bacillota. The record is from RNAcentral.
GCCCAGGUGGCGAAAUUGGUAGACGCACAGGACUUAAAAUCCUGCGGUGGCGACACCAUGACGGUUCAAGUCCGUCCCCGGGCACCA